UUCACUUCCUAAAGUGUUUUUUGCUGUGAUA
This 31-nucleotide non-coding RNA is filed under the name Rattus norvegicus (Norway rat). The record is from RNAcentral. Lineage: Eukaryota; Metazoa; Chordata; Mammalia; Rodentia; Muridae.